UGCGGAAGGAUCAUUAUUGAAAUAAACCUGAUAGGUUGUUGCUGGUUCUCUUGGGAGCAUGUGCACACUUUGUCAUCUUUAUAUCUUCACCUGUGCACCUUUUGUAAAUCUUGAAUAUCUUUCUGAAUCCGCUUGGCGUAUUCAGGUUUGAGGAUUGAUUUUUUUCUUUCCUUACAUUUUCAGGUUUAUGUUUUUCAUAUACCACAAGUAUGUUAUAGAAUGUUAUAAACGGGCCUUUGUGCCUAUAAAUUUUAUACAACUUUCAGCAACGGAUCUCUUGGCUCUCGCAUCGAUGAAGAACGCAGCGAAAUGCGAUAAGUAAUGUGAAUUGCAGAAUUCAGUGAAUCAUCGAAUCUUUGAACGCACCUUGCGCUCCUUGGUAUUCCGAGGAGCAUGCCUGUUUGAGUGUCAUUAAUAUAUCAACCUCUUCAGCUUUUUUGCAUGUUGAGUGUUUGGAUGUGGGGGUAUUUUUUGCUGGACUCUAGAAUCCUGAGGUCAGCUCCCCUAAAAUGCAUCAGCGAAACAAUUUGUUUACCGCUCAUUGGUGUGAUAACUUAUCUACGCUAUUGACGGUGAAGCAUGGUUUAGCUCCUAACCGUCCAUUAACUUGGACAAUCUCUUAUUAAUGUGACCUCAAAUCAGGUAGGACUACCCGCUGAACUUAAGCAUAUCAAUAAGCGGAGGAAAAGAAACUAACAAGGAUUCCCCUAGUAACUGCGAGUGAAGCGGGAAAAGCUCAAAUUUAAAAUCUGGCAGUCUCUGGCUGU
This 767-nucleotide ribosomal RNA is filed under the name uncultured fungus. RNAcentral describes it as "eukaryotic LSU rRNA". The stretch from base 258 to 411 matches the Rfam family "5.8S ribosomal RNA". Lineage: Eukaryota; Fungi. The record is from RNAcentral.